GACGAACGCUGGCGGCGUGCCUAAUACAUGCAAGUCGAACGCUUCUUUCCUCCCGAGUGCUUGCACUCAAUUGGAAAGAGGAGUGGCGGACGGGUGAGUAACACGUGGGUAACCUACCCAUCAGAGGGGGAUAACACUUGGAAACAGGUGCUAAUACCGCAUAACAGUUUAUGCCGCAUGGCAUAAGAGUGAAAGGCGCUUUCGGGUGUCGUUGAUGGAUGGACCCGCGGUGCAUUAGCUAGUUGGGGAGGUAACGGCUCACCAAGGCCACGAUGCAUAGCCGACCUGAGAGGGGGAUCGGCCACACUGGGACUGAGACACGGCCCAGACUCCUACGGGAGGCAGCAGUAGGGAAUCUUCGGCAAUGGACGAAAGUCUGACCGAGCAACGCCGCGUGAGUGAAGAAGGUUUUCGGAUCGUAAAACUCUGUUGUUAGAGAAGAACAAGGACGUUAGUAACUGAACGUCCCCUGACGGUAUCUAACCAGAAAGCCACGGCUAACUACGUG
This 508-nucleotide ribosomal RNA is filed under the name uncultured bacterium. Its description in RNAcentral is "partial 16S ribosomal RNA". It matches the Rfam family "Bacterial small subunit ribosomal RNA", at positions 28 to 507 of the family's 1533-position model. The record is from RNAcentral.